GACGAACGCUGGCGGCGUGCUUAACACAUGCAAGUCGAACGGAAAGGCCCUGCUUUUGUGGGGUGCUCGAGUGGCGAACGGGUGAGUAACACGUGAGUAACCUGCCCUUGACUUUGGGAUAACUUCAGGAAACUGGGGCUAAUACCGGAUAGGAGCUCCUGCUGCAUGGUGGGGGUUGGAAAGUUUCGGCGGUUGGGGAUGGACUCGCGGCUUAUCAGCUUGUUGGUGGGGUAGUGGCUUACCAAGGCUGUGACGGGUAGCCGGCCGGAGAGGGUGACCGGCCACAUUGGGACUGCGAUACGGCCCAGACUCCUACGGGAGGCAGCAGUGGGGAAUAUUGCACAAUGGGCGGAAGCCUGAUGCAGCAACGCCGCGUGCGGGAUGACGGCCUUCGGGUUGUAAACCGCUUUCGCCUGUGACGAAGCGUGAGUGACGGUAAUGGGUAAAGAAGCACCGGCUAACUACGUG
Molecule: ribosomal RNA, 468 nt
Filed under: uncultured bacterium
Lineage: Bacteria
Description: partial 16S ribosomal RNA
Rfam family: Bacterial small subunit ribosomal RNA
Source: RNAcentral